RNAcentral lists this long non-coding RNA (1351 nucleotides) under Struthio camelus australis. Its description in RNAcentral is "lncRNA (ENSSCUG00000016266.1)". Lineage: Eukaryota; Metazoa; Chordata; Aves; Struthioniformes; Struthionidae. The record is from RNAcentral.
AAAGCGUAUUUCUUCUCAAGAUGCCAAUUGGAGAACAGCAAGAGAGACCCCCCCCUCCCUUUUUUUUUUUUUCCCUAAGAUGAGGGGAGAAAGCAAUUAUAACUUCCUUUUUCUUUUGAAGAUGCUGAUAAAAGGAAGUGGGAGGAUCACAGAGUCCCUGUGCUAAGAGAGGAACGACUCCUAAGGUACCUCUUGGUUGUCCAAAAAUAACAGCCUCUCCUAAAGAUAUAACCGAGCGUGUUUUGGAAAGAAGGACUGUCGGGUUGACAGGAAAUGAAGGGGAGUGUUCAAGCUCCCCAGAAGCAACCGCCUUUGAGCGGAUUGGGAGCUAUUGCUCUGGGGCCGUGGGUCUGCGUACUUCCCUCUCCAUAGCAGCAGUGCAGGAGCAGUCUCCUACCCCACCACUCACAGCCUCACCUUUAGGCUGGGGUGGCAGGAUUGCAUCAGGCAGCUGAUUUACUGUAAAAUUAAUCCUCUUCCCCUACUUUUUUCUUUUCUAACAGGAUUAAGGAGGGAGUGUUUUAAAGUUUAAUCAGUUAGCUCAUUUGCUGUGCUGCGUCUCUCCUCCAAAGCAUUGUUCUGGCAGAAAUGAGGACCUUGGAGUGGGAAUGAGUGAUACCUGCUUAAGUUUGUUCUGCUGCAGAGAAGGUUAUGUGUAAUAUAACUCGGUUAUAUUCGCUUCAAGAGGAGCCGCUCAAAAUAGGGCGACGUUGUUGGCCUCCGACGGGUGGUAUGCGAACACCAGGCAGUUUCCCUUCCCUUGGGACUGCCCUGCACCAGAGGUGCUAGCAGAUCUUUCACAUCAAAUUAUGUUACUGGACAGCAGAAUGAAGCUGAACUCAUUCUUGUCUUUAGCAAUUGUCUUAAUCUAUCGGGAAGACGCUGCUAAGGGGACGGAGGGUCCCCAUGCCUAAGGCUACAGGUCCUUGCCUUGAGUCAUUUCUAAUCCUUUCCUGGCUGAGAACUGCCGCCAUCAUCUCUUGAUGCUGCAGCUGUGUGGCUGCAAGUGCUGACAGGAGGCAAACGGAGUUGACGCAUGGCCUGGCAGUGGGAGGAGGUACUGUGGCCAAGAGCCUCUUUCAGCUGAGGCAAGCAGUGACAAGUUAAUCUCAGUUACCUUCUCAGACCACAUGCUAAAUUCUCUGUUGACUCCUGAAAUUGCCGUCCCAGUGUGUGUGCACAUUUGUACAUUUUGUUUCUUCAGAUAGAAAAGGAUUGCUGAUCCUGGCUACUUGGAUCCAUUUUUCUCAGUUGCCAUUGUUAAGGUAAUUAAAUGAUUAUAUAAAACAAAACAAAAAACCCUUAAAAAUCUUUGCUUUCUGCUGCUACUUAUGCUAUAAAAUAAUCAAAA